RNAcentral lists this ribosomal RNA (433 nucleotides) under uncultured bacterium. RNAcentral's name for it is "partial 16S ribosomal RNA". It matches the Rfam family "Bacterial small subunit ribosomal RNA", at positions 29 to 507 of the family's 1533-position model. The record is from RNAcentral.
AGCGAACGCUGGCGGCAGGCUUAACACAUGCAAGUCGAGCGGGCACUUCGGUGUCAGCGGCAGACGGGUGAGGAACACGUGGGAACGUACCCUUCGGUUCGGAAUAACGCGGGGAAACUAGCGCUAAUACCGGAUACGCCCCUAUUGGGGAAGGUUUACUGCCGAAGUAUCAGCCCGCGCCUGAUUAGCCAGUUGGUGGGGUAAUGGCCUACCAAGGCGACGAUAAGUAGCUGGUCUGAGAGGCUGAUCAGACACACUGGGGCUGAGACACGGUCCAGACUCUUACGGGAGGCGGCAGUGGGGAAUAUUGGAAAAUGGGCGCAAGGCUGAUCCAGCCAUGCCGCGUGAGUGAUGAAGGCCUUAGGGUUGUAAAGCUCUUUUGUCCGGGACGAUAAUGACGGUACCGGAAGAAUAAGCCCCGGCUAACUUCGUG